UGGGUCAUUAAGACCGAAGUACAUGAUUCCAUGCUUCCAAGAAAAGCAUCUAGAGAGAGAAGUAGUGCCCGUACCGCAAACCGACACAGGUAGAUGAGGAGAGAAUCCUAAGGCCGGCGGAAGAAUUGCAGUUAAGGAACUAGGCAAAUUGACCCCGUAAGUUCGCGAGAAGGGGUGCCUGCGAGAGCAGGCCGCAGAGAAUAGGCCCAAGCAACUGUUUAGCAAAAACACAGGUCUCUGCUAAAGCGUAAGCUGAUGUAUAGGGGCUGACGCCUGCCCGGUGCUGGAAGGUUAAGGGGAACACUUAGCGCAAGCGAAGGUGUGAACUUAAGCCCCAGUAAACGGCGGCCGUAACUAUAACGGUCCUAAGGUAGCGAAAUUCCUUGUCAGGUAAGUUCUGACCCGCACGAAUGGCGUAAUGACUUGGGCACUGUCUCAACUGCAAAUCCGGCGAAGUUGUAGUGCGAGUGAAGAUGCUCGCUACCCGCGAUUGGACGGAAAGACCCCGUAGAGCUUUACUGUAGCUUAGCAUUGAAUUCCGGUAUUGUCUGUACAGGAUAGGUGGGAGACUGGGAAACUAGGGCGUCAGCCUUAGUGGAGUCAACCUUGGGAUACCACCCUGACAGUACUGGGGUUCUAACAGGACGCCAUGAAGCUGGUGACUGGACAUUGUUAGGUGGGCAGUUUGACUGGGGCGGUCGCCUCCUAAAAAGUAACGGAGGCGCCCAAAGGUUCCCUCAGAACGGUCGGAAAUCGUUCGUAGAGUGCAAAGGCAGAAGGGAGCCUGACUGCGAGACCCACAAGUCGAGCAGGGACGAAAGUCGGGCUUAGUGAUCCGGUGGUACCUCGUGGGAGGGCCAUCGCUCAACGGAUAAAAGCUACCUCGGGGAUAACAGGCUGAUCUCCCCCAAGAGUCCACAUCGACGGGGAGGUUUGGCACCUCGAUGUCGGCUCGUCGCAUCCUGGGGCUGUAGUAGGUCCCAAGGGUUGGGCUGUUCGCCCAUUAAAGCGGCACGCGAGCUGGGUUCAGAACGUCGUGAGACAGUUCGGUCCCUAUCCGUCGCGGGCGUAGGAAAUUUGAGAGGAGCUGUCCUUAGUACGAGAGGACCGGGAUGGACUGACCUCUGGUGCACCAGUUGUUCUGCCAAGAGCAUGGCUGGGUAGCUAAGUCGGGAAGGGAUAAACGCUGAAAGCAUCUAAGCGUGAAGCCCCCCUCAAGAUGAGAUUUCCCAUAGCAUAAGCUAGUAAGACCCCUUGAAGAACACAAGGUUGAUAGGUCAGAGGUGGAAGUGCGGUAACGUAUGUAGCUGACUGAUACUAAUAGGUCGAGGGCUUGAUC
Molecule: ribosomal RNA, 1339 nt
Filed under: metagenome
Description: bacterial LSU rRNA
Rfam family: Bacterial large subunit ribosomal RNA
Source: RNAcentral